This 253-nucleotide ribosomal RNA is filed under the name uncultured bacterium. RNAcentral describes it as "partial 16S ribosomal RNA". It matches the Rfam family "Bacterial small subunit ribosomal RNA", at positions 524 to 776 of the family's 1533-position model. The record is from RNAcentral.
UACGGGGGGAGCAAGCGUUGUUCGGAUUUACUGGGCGUAAAGGGCGCGUAGGCGGCCACCGCAAGUCGACUGUGAAAUCUCCGGGCUUAACCCGGAAGGUCAGCCGAUACUGCGGGGCUAGAGUGCAGAAGGGGCAACUGGGAAUUCUCGGUGUAGCGGUGAAAUGCGUAGAUAUCGAGAGGAACACCUGCGGCGAAGGCGGGUGCUGGGCUGACACUGACGCUGAUGCGCGAAAGCUAGGGGAGCGAACGGG